This 407-nucleotide ribosomal RNA is filed under the name uncultured Alphaproteobacteria bacterium. RNAcentral's name for it is "bacterial SSU rRNA". It matches the Rfam family "Bacterial small subunit ribosomal RNA", at positions 9 to 444 of the family's 1533-position model. The record is from RNAcentral. Lineage: Bacteria; Pseudomonadati; Pseudomonadota; Alphaproteobacteria.
GAGUUUGAUCGUGGCUCAGAACGAACGCUGGCGGCAGGCCUAAAACAUGCAAGUCGAACGCCCUAGCAAUAGGGAGUGGCGCACGGGUGAGUAACGCGUGGGAAUAUGCCCUUCACUACGGGACAACGUCGGGAAACUGACGCUAAUACCGUAUAAUGACUCCGGUCCAAAGAUUUAUCGGUGAAGGAUUAGCCCGCGUCUGAUUAGCUAGUUGGUGAGGUAAUGGCUCACCAAGGCUACGAUCAGUAGCUGGUCUGAGAGGAUGAUCAGCCACACUGGGACUGAGACACGGCCCAGACUCCUACGGGAGGCAGCAGUUAGGAAUAUUGGACAAUGGGCGCAAGCCUGAUCCAGCCAUGCCGCGUGUGUGAUGAAGGCCUUAGGGUUGUAAAGCACUUUCGUUGGGG